RNAcentral lists this long non-coding RNA (1055 nucleotides) under Pogona vitticeps (central bearded dragon). Its description in RNAcentral is "lncRNA (ENSPVIG00000003463.1)". Lineage: Eukaryota; Metazoa; Chordata; Lepidosauria; Squamata; Agamidae. The record is from RNAcentral.
UUGGCCGGCUGGAGUCCCGGCCAGGUGUCAGCAGAAGCAGAGGCAAGGAAAGGGCACCGAGUGUGGAAAGGGUGGCGGGGCAGCGUCGGGCUGAGGCACUGCGGCCGUUCUCGCCACCGCCGUUCGCCCUUUGCUCAGCAUCCCAUAGGUGCUCUACUGACGAGGAGAGCUGAACGCCGUCACCUUCCUCUGACAGCCGCUGCCAACGGAGGGAGCGACGCGCCGGCUUGUCCGGCGGCUGGUCCCCUCUUGGGACCCUCGCCUUGCUCUGGAGAGAGUCAAGCCUCUCUCUCUCUGUACCUCAGGACCCGCCACCUCCUCUGGAGCUGCUGGAGAGAUCAGGGUACGCCGCUGCCGAGGCGAGAGAUUCUUCAGCUAGUUUAUUGCACUGAGGAUAGAAAUAACCAUGGGGAGGAAGUUGGAUUUGUCUGGCUUGACUGAUGAUGAAGCCGAACAUGUCCUUCAGGUAGUCCAACGAGAUUUCACCCUCCGCAAAAAAGAAGAAGAUCGACUGAGGUGAGACUUCUGUAGGUAAUCGUACAGUAUGAGAAACCAGUUUGUUUUAGAAUAUGUGCAACUAAAUUGUUCCUUUAGCUGUUCUUGUUCAUUGGUUUGAAUUCCACUACAUUGUCAAUAGUCUUAACCAGAAUUUGAAAGUAACUAGUUAGAAGUAAUAUAUCUUCCUAAAACUAAUUUCUUUUUCAGUAAUCCGUAUUGUAGUAGUGAUAGUAUUGCAACAUUAGCAAUAUAAGAGUAGUUACAAAGGUUAAUUUUCAUGUGUAAUGAGUAACAUUGUUGAGUUACUUUCAGUUAUUUCAUAGAAUCAUAGAAUAGUGAAGUUGGAAGGGGCCUAUAAGGCCAUAAUGUCCAACCCCCUGCUUGAUGCAGGAAUACAAAUCAAAGGAUAUCUGCUAAGUUUCUCUUGAAUGCCUCUGGUGUUGGAGCACUUACCACCUCUUGAGGUAAUUGAUUCCAUUGCUGUACUGCUCUAACAGUUAGGAAGUUUUUCCUGAUACUCAAAUAAAAUCUGGCUUCCUGUAACUUGAGUUUCGUGU